UUGGGGAUUUACCUUCAAGCUUCAUGCAUUAUUUCCUUCUUUUUCUUAAUUAUCAUAUCGGUUUUAUGGUUUUUCACUGAGCCAAUCCUUGUUUUAUGGUCAUAUUUGCUUACGGUUUUCUGCAAAAUGUAGGGCCCAAAUUUUGCCCGGGCCCAAAAGCACAAACAAAAAAUAAACCAAAUAAUAAAAACCCAAAUAUAAAAUUAUAACAGUCCAGUAUUACAAGCCCACUAAACGUCAGUCCAAAAACACCUAACCCUAGUCCGAUAGCCCAAAACAAUUUCAACACAAAAAAUCAGCAGCAAACCCUAAAUCCCCUGGCGCCGCAAGCUCCCACGCGCACCUCCGCACGUACGCCGCCCUCCACGUCACCGUACGGCCUCCGUACACCUGCAGAAAAUCAACACGCAAAGAGCGCAACAAACGAGCAAAAGACAAGCAGAAACAGCACAACAAAAGGAGAAAAAAAAUUGUAAUAGCGAAGAAAAAACAGAAAGAGGGGCGAUUUUUGUAUUUUUCUUUUGGCUAUAUAAAGCCAUAACGAAAUCUGUAAAAUGAUGAAAAAAAAGAGAAAUAAAAAGAUCGAUAUUAAGGUGAUUCUUUUUCUUUGCGUUUUUCUGUUCUUUCAUUUUUUUAUUUUUUGUAUACAUUCAGAUAUAAAAAAAGAAAAGAGUUAAAGGUAUAAUGAUACCUUCGCGGGCCUUUGGAGCCAUCCUCUACUCUGUCUGAAUCGGAAUGAGAGAGAGGAGUGUUCUGGCUUUCAAGGUGGCGAUGAGGGAAAAGGCUCACCUGUGUGUCGAAACCAUCGAGUCAUCGAACCCUAGUCCGCUUCUUGGUAGUCGGAGAUCGGAAGGGACGAGGGAUUGCGGCGCGUUUCUAUGUAAAUGAGGGCUAGGGUUUCUUUUAGUUCGUUUUUUUAGGUUUCAUUUAUUUAUUUUUUUUAGUUCUGUAAAACUUAAAACGUUGCCGUUUAAGCCACUUAGUUUCAGCAACCCGCGCGGUGACCCGACCCGGGGAGGAUCCGCGCGUUCUGACUUUUUGGAUUAUUUGCGCUUAGAGUCCUUUCAUGUUUUGCUUAGUUUCAAUCGGAUUUCUUUCCAUUUUCCUUAAUUUGUACCGCCUAUUUAAUUCUGUAUUCAUUUAGAUCCAAGUUCAAACGGUGCCGUUUUUGUUAUUGUUUGGGAUUAUUUCGUUGUUUGUGUUUAAUUGCGGAUUUAGUCCUUUAAUUUUGAAACAGGUUUUAAUUAAAUACUGAUUUAUUUUUUUUUAAAAUUCAAUGUUUUUUUAAAUUAUGAUUAAUUCUAUUUUCAUGUAUUAUAAUAUCUAAUAUUCUUUAUAAUAUUUAUUUUUGAUAGUAUUUUAAAUUAUUAUUAUAUUAUUUUAAUGUAAUAAAGUUAUUAUUUUGGGUUGUAUUUUGUAUUUUAAAUUUAUUAUAUACUAAUAUUUUGAAACUACUGUAUGUUUAUUAAAAGUUUUAUUGUUAUUUUAAUUAUUAAUAUUAUUUUAACAUUGACUUAGUAUUUUUAAACUUAUUAUUAAUAUGAUUUCUAAAAUAUUAUACUUUAUUCUUACUAAUUAUUAUUAUCAAUAUGUUUUAAAUUCAUUGACAUCGAUUUUAAAUUCUUUACAUAUACUCAUUUUUUUAAAAUUUGAUACAUUAUUAUUUAUUUUAUCACACUUAAUAUAUUUCUAGAAUUUGAUAUAUUACUUUAUAUUUCUCAAUAAUGUAUUUUAGAAUAUAGUCCCAAAUUUUAUUUUCACCAUGAUAUCUUGUGAUUAUUAUACUUAUAUGUAUAGUUUAUAUGGAAUUAUUUUAAUACAGGUAUAUGUGUAUAAAAUGCAUCAUAACUUGUAAUUUACAAAAUGUUAUUUUUGUUUUCAUAUUUUUUAUUCAUUUCGAUUAUUUUAAGUGGUUUACUUAUGAUUAAAUUAUCUUUAUAUUAAUUAUUCUCAUUUCGUUUUUUGUAAGAUUGAUUAUUAGUUUAUUUGAUUAUCAAUGUUGAUGUAUUAUAUGUUUGGUUGCUCCAAAUUGUAAAUUUAGCCUGCUAUUCACCAUUUGAUUUGUAUAUUGAUAUUUUAUUAUAUUGUUUGUAAAAAUCGCAUUUCAUUAAAGCAUUAUAAUCGUUCUAUUUCAUAAUUUCUAAAAAGGCUUGGUAUUCAUAUUUCCCGAGAAAAUUGUGCCCUAACUUACUGGGCUUCAAUUUUUUUCGAUUCAUUUAGAUAAUCAAGUGUUCAUUUUAUUUAAACCAUAUGUUUUUAAGAAUAAAAUUCUUAAGAUUCCGAAAUGUUGGAUCCUAACUUACUGGAUACGACAUUUUGUUAUCUCGUUUUUAAAAUAAAGGCAAUACCCAAAAUUUGGAAUCCUCGAGAGAAUUGAGCCCUAACGUAUUGGGUUUUUAUUUUUCUCGUUGAAUCUAAAUAAUCAAGAUUUUUUGAAAACAUACAAAUUUCAAAUAAAAACCCAUUCUCGGGAAUUCGACACGUUGUGUCCUAACGCAUUGGAUAUGACAUGUUAUUUUCUCGAGAUGAGGAUUUUAAAAAUAAAAGGCAAUGUUCGAUAUUUAGGAAUUUUGUGAAAUCGAACCCUAACUUAUUGGGUUUUGAUUUUCUCAUUGGACCCAAAUAAUCGGAUAUCCUUCUCAAAACGCAUAGGUUUUAAAACUCAAAGGACAAGCUUAAUUUGGAGGAUUUGAAAUGUUGCACUCUAACUUACUGAGUGUAACAAUUUAUUUCUUUAAAAUAAAUGAGCCUUAUCUUCCAAUUAAUUCAAAAUAAAAAGAUCGUAUUUUAAAAUCUUUUUAAAAUUUCGACAUUAAGACAUUAAACAAUCAAUUCGGUACCAAUUUUGGACGUCACGAGGGUGCUAACCCUUCCUCGUGCGUAACCGACUCCCGAACCUAAUUUCUCAAAAUUCGCAGACCUAAAAUUAUUUUCAAGGUGAUCCGAUCACACCACAAUAAAAGAUCGGUGGCGACUCCAGUUUUCAUUUUAGAAGUCGAUCCCCGUUUUUCAAAUUUAAAAAUGGUUUCGACACAAAACAUAUUAAGGUUUAUUCAGACACAAAGCAUUGCUAUACCUGAUACGGCCACGCCCCAAUUCACAACUAGCUCGAGCAAGGAUCCUUUGGAGCUGCCCCGAUGUCCUAUUACCCGAUGGCGCGCCAAGCAAUUCAAAGGGGCACUAACGGCUUUGAUAGACAAAGUGUGGGACGAUACCCUAGUUGGACACCUCGAGGAGACUCGAACUAGCCCUAAGAGUCUUCCAUGCACCUUGUUGCAAGCUGAACUUAGCUCAAUUUUAGCUCAAUAAUUUUGAUUCAGCUCAAUAUCAUAUAGACAUUAAUUUGAUUACUGAAAUAAUUAUUUGAGUUAGUUAAUUAGUUAUACACAACUCAAUUAAUUUUCGUUGUUUAAUUGGUCUAAAAUUCGGACGAAUUUAAGUGUGCAUGUUAAUUGUGUUUUUCUUACAUGUUAUUAAGUCAUCUUAAUUCCUACAGCUUAUAAAUAUGUUUUUAUUGCAUGAUUUCAAUGUGUCUUGUCUUAACCGAAUUAAUUGGGUCUUGUUCUAUUUAUGUGAAUUUAACUUGUCCAGAUUAUGUUAUUAAUUAUGUUCAGCUGAAUAAAAAAUUAAUUUAAGUUCAUUUGUUCCUUUUGUAGGUUGGCUGAAUAUGCGAGUGCAUUUAAACAAGAUACAUGCAUGUUGGAUUCAAUGUAUUUGGCGAUACAUGCAUGGGCUGCAAUCAAAAUGGUGUGCUGAUUUUUGAAGUUUCCUAUGUGACUAUUCGGCCAAGGGAGCUGAUGUUUCCUUCUCCAAAGCUGCCCAUUUAUUUCUUUUACAUUGCUGGAUACAUCUUGGCUGUUCGGUUCAUAGUGUCCACACCUAAAGGACUCUUCAAGGCUGACUUUUCACACUUAGUUGGCUAUUCACGUUCUCAUUUAAUGCUGAUAUUUUUUCAGCCAAGAGUUGCAUUUUAAUGAGCUCAUUGGACGAACCUAGCUGUUGCCAUGCACCUUUCCAAGCAUUCUAAGUUCAUUUGCUUAGUUUAGAAGCUG
RNAcentral lists this long non-coding RNA (4052 nucleotides) under Gossypium barbadense (sea-island cotton). RNAcentral's name for it is "long non-coding RNA (GBAR_LNC022591)". Lineage: Eukaryota; Viridiplantae; Streptophyta; Magnoliopsida; Malvales; Malvaceae. The record is from RNAcentral.